This 795-nucleotide ribosomal RNA is filed under the name uncultured archaeon. RNAcentral's name for it is "bacterial SSU rRNA". It matches the Rfam family "Archaeal small subunit ribosomal RNA", at positions 85 to 879 of the family's 1478-position model. The record is from RNAcentral.
ACGGCUCAGUAACACGUGGACAACCUACCCUGAGGUCGGGGAUAAACCCGGGAAACUGGGUAUAAUACCCGAUAGAUCUAGAUCGCUGGAAUGCUUUUAGGUCUAAAGUUCCGACGCCUCAGGAUGGGUCUGCGGCCUAUCAGGGUAGUAGUGGGUGUAAAGUACCUACUAGCCUACGACGGGUACGGGUUGUGAAAGCAAGAGCCCGGAGAUGGAUUCUGAGACACGAAUCCAGGCCCUACGGGGUGCAGCAGGCGCGAAACCUUUACAAUGCUGGCAACAGCGAUAAGGGGACCUCGAGUGCUACGAUACAAUCGUGGCUGUCUAGUUGCCUAAAAAGCAAUUGAUAGCAAGGGCCGGGCAAGACCGGUGCCAGCCGCCGCGGUAACACCGGCGGCUCGAGUGGUAACCGCUAUUAUUGGGUCUAAAGGGUCUGUAGCCGGCUUAGUUAGUCUCUUGAGAAAUCUGGCCGCUCAACGGUCAGGCGUUCAGGGGAUACUGCUAAAGCUCGAGACCGGGAGAGGUGAGAGGUACUUCAGGGGUAGGGGUGAAAUCUUGUAAUCCUUGAAGGACCACCAGUGGCGAAGGCGUCUCACCAGAACGGAUCUGACGGCAAGGGACGAAAGCUAGGGGCACGAACCGGAUUAGAUACCCGGGUAGUCCUAGCCGUAAACGAUACUCGCUAGGUGUCGGCCACGGUGCGACCGUGGUCGGUGCCGUAGGGAAGCCGUGAAGCGAGCCACCUGGGAAGUACGGCCGCAAGGCUGAAACUUAAAGGAAUUGGCGGGGGAGCAC